This 72-nucleotide transfer RNA is filed under the name Mortierella sp. 14UC. It matches the Rfam family "tRNA". From Rfam's summary of the family: Transfer RNA (tRNA) molecules are approximately 80 nucleotides in length. The record is from Rfam by way of RNAcentral. Lineage: Eukaryota; Fungi; Mortierellomycota; Mortierellomycetes; Mortierellales; Mortierellaceae.
AGUGGAUUAGUGUAACGGUUAACACACGAGACUCAUGAUCUUGUAUUGAUAGUUCAAUUCUAUCAUCCGCGC